This 70-nucleotide transfer RNA is filed under the name Dipodomys ordii (Ord's kangaroo rat). It matches the Rfam family "tRNA". From Rfam's summary of the family: Transfer RNA (tRNA) molecules are approximately 80 nucleotides in length. Their secondary structure includes four short double-helical elements and three loops (D, anti-codon, and T loops). The record is from Rfam by way of RNAcentral. Lineage: Eukaryota; Metazoa; Chordata; Mammalia; Rodentia; Heteromyidae.
GGGAAUGUGGCUAAGUGGUAGAGUGCUUGCCUUGCAUGCAUGAGGCCCUAGGUUCAAUUCCUCAGCACCA